This 497-nucleotide ribosomal RNA is filed under the name uncultured bacterium. Its description in RNAcentral is "partial 16S ribosomal RNA". It matches the Rfam family "Bacterial small subunit ribosomal RNA", at positions 28 to 507 of the family's 1533-position model. The record is from RNAcentral.
GACGAACGCUGGCGGCGUGCCUAAUACAUGCAAGUAGAACGCUGAAACUUGGUGCUUGCUCCGAGCGGAUGAGUUGCGAACGGGUGAGUAACGCGUAGGUAACCUGCCUGGUAGCGGGGGAUAACUAUUGGAAACGAUAGCUAAUACCGCAUAAGAGUAGAUGUUGCAUGACAUUUUCUUAAAAGGUGCAAUUGCACCACUACCAGAUGGACCUGCGUUGUAUUUGCUAGUUGGUUGGGUAACGGCCCAACAAGGCGAAGGUACAUAGCCCGACUGAGAGGGGGGUCGGCCCGCAUGGGAAUGGGGCAACGCCCCGACUCCCUAGGGGGGCAGCCGUAGGGAAUCUUCGGCAAUGGGCGGAAGUCUUACCGGGGAACGCCGCGUGGGUGAAGGAGGGUUUCGGGUCGUAAAGCUCUGUUGUAAGAGAAGAACGAGUGUGAGAGUGGAAAGUUCACACUGUGACGGUAUCUUACCAGAAAGGGACGGCUAACUACGUG